This 445-nucleotide ribosomal RNA is filed under the name uncultured bacterium. RNAcentral describes it as "partial 16S ribosomal RNA". It matches the Rfam family "Bacterial small subunit ribosomal RNA", at positions 354 to 796 of the family's 1533-position model. The record is from RNAcentral.
GUGAGGAAUAUUGGUCAAUGGGCGGGAGCCUGAACCAGCCAAGUCGCGUGAAGGAAGAAGGAUCUAUGGUUCGUAAACUUCUUUUGCAGGGGAAUAAAGUGCAGGACGUGUCCUGUUUUGUAUGUACCCUGAGAAUAAGGAUCGGCUAACUCCGUGCCAGCAGCCGCGGUAAUACGGAGGAUCCGAGCGUUAUCCGGAUUUCUUGGGUUUAAAGGGUGCGUAGGUGGUUUGAUAAGUCAGCGGUGAAAGUUUGCAGCUUAACUGUAAAAAUGCCGUUGAAACUGUCGGACUUGAGUGUAAAUGAGGUAGGCGGAAUGCGUGGUGUAGCGGUGAAAUGCAUAGAGAUCACGCAGAACUCCGAUUGCGAAGGCAGCUUACUAAGCUACAACUGACACUGAAGCACGAAAGCGUGGGGAUCAAACAGGAUUAGAUACCCCGGUAGUCC